GAUGAAGAACGUAGCGAAAUGCGAUAAGUAAUGUGAAUUGCAGAAUUCAGUGAAUCAUCGAAUCUUUGAACGCACAUUGCGCCCGCUGGUAUUCCGGCGGGCAUGCCUGUUCGAGCGUCAUUUCAACCCUCAAGCUCUCCGGAGUUUGGUGUUGGGGCGCCUGGGGCUUUUCGACCUCAGGGCCCUCAAGUCCAUCGGCGGGACCGCCAGGACACUGAGCGCAGUAGUAUUAUUUCGCUCGGUAGGAUCUUCCACGGCGGGUCGAUCUGGCCGCUAAACCCCCCAAUUCUCACCAAAGGUUGACCUCGGAUCAGGUAGGAAUACCCGCUGAACUUAAGCAUAUCAAUAAGCGGAGGA
Molecule: unclassified non-coding RNA, 357 nt
Filed under: soil metagenome
Description: partial contains 5.8S ribosomal RNA, internal transcribed spacer 2, and large subunit ribosomal RNA
Rfam family: 5.8S ribosomal RNA (bases 1-120)
Source: RNAcentral